Molecule: long non-coding RNA, 1344 nt
Filed under: Triticum aestivum (bread wheat)
Lineage: Eukaryota; Viridiplantae; Streptophyta; Magnoliopsida; Poales; Poaceae
Description: long non-coding RNA (TAES_LNC023643)
Source: RNAcentral
ACAAAAAGCACACAUAAUACUUCAAAUAAGAGCAACCAGAUCCUUACAAGUGUAAUACAGUGGCAAUCACAGUAAUGACUACAAGUGUAAUACAGUACUUUAAAAGCUUUACAAGCAAUCACAAACUGGCACCUGCUCCCGUCAUGAACAUGCCAAACUCACAACAUGCCAAACUCGUUGGACUACCAUAGUGAUAUGAACAACAUGCCGAACUAGCUGGACAACCGUAGUUAGGGCUGGGAACAAACAGAACGACCUUCAAGAAAACAGACAACAUGCCUUCCUCGGUCGCCCUGUUACAUGAAUCAGUAGAGAAGAAUCAAAAAAACUGGGGCAAAUAUAUUAUGAACAGACCAUUCAAGAAAAGGAUAGUUAUUUAGAAUGAUAACACAAAUUGAGCUAGUACCAUGCUUUUUGUUCUCCAGCUAGUUAAAAUGAGAUACUCGUUCAUACAAGAAAGGUGACUCAUGAAAAUAGAGCAUUCUACUCAUAGCUCGCAGAGUAUCAAUAUUCUGUUCUUAUAAGCUUAUUCUUAUGCCUGAAGCAAGUAAGGAAAUCUGACCAAAUAAGCAACACCUCCAUAAAAUGAUCGUGACUAAAUGGAGCAGAGGAAGGAAAGGAGCUCACCAUGGCUGUUUUUGUAGGCGAUGCCGAACAACACAGCUGCCACCACCGUUGCAUGGAAGCAGCAGAAAAGAGGAGCCUGGCAUGACUUACCCCUUGUACCGAAUCAAAUCAUGCUGCACAAGAAGGACAAGAGAAAUAAGAAGAUAAUCUUGAGGUCAAAUCAAAAAUCAGAAAAAUAAAUCAUGGACUCAAGCACAUUCAUACAUAUACUUUAAGUUGUUAAACAGAAUCAUAGAAUGCCAUCACGUAAUCCAAAAAAUUUGAACAUAUAUAUAUAUAUAUGCAUGCUUGUCAAAGUUUCAUUCCAGAGAAUUAAAGUGCUGGGUAAGAAGCCUGAUGUACAAUUGAUACAAGUUAAUACAAGCCUGAUGUACUACUCUGGGUAAGAAGAAGCAGGUACUUUAGUAGUUUUAGCACACUAAUACAUGUGUUAAAAUGGAAGCAUCGCUGCUGGGUUAUAUUAAUAAAUAAUCUAAGUGUUGCAACACCCAACAAGAUUUGCAUGAACACGUAAAACCUAGCAAGUACUUGUACUGGGAUGCUGUCCAUGCAACAGAGACAACAAACCAGCUUAUCACAAGACUGAUGCUGGACUCCAUUGCCGGAAUCUACAGCUAGGCACUCAAGCUUAAGGGGAUCCUCAUGUGGAUCGAGCCUGCAUGUUAAUCUUUACACUAGCAGGGCCAUUUCUGUUCUCUUUCUUUCUUUGACACCAGU